RNAcentral lists this transfer RNA (70 nucleotides) under Grundulus bogotensis. RNAcentral's name for it is "tRNA-Met". It matches the Rfam family "tRNA". From Rfam's summary of the family: Transfer RNA (tRNA) molecules are approximately 80 nucleotides in length. Their secondary structure includes four short double-helical elements and three loops (D, anti-codon, and T loops). Lineage: Eukaryota; Metazoa; Chordata; Actinopteri; Characiformes; Acestrorhamphidae. The record is from RNAcentral.
AGUAGGAUAAGCUAAUUUAGGCUACUGGGCCCAUACCCCAAAAAUGAAGGUUAAAAUCCUUCUCUUACUA